AACGUAGGUGGCAAGCGUUGUCCGGAAUUACUGGGUGUAAAGGGAGCGCAGGCGGGAUGGCAAGUUGGACGUGAAAUCUAUGGGCUCAACCCAUAGCGUGCGUUCAAAACUGCUGUUCUUGAGUGAUGGAGAGGCAGGCGGAAUUCCCGGUGUAGCGGUGGAACGCGUAGAUAUCGGGAGGAACACCAGUGGCGAAGGCGGCCUGCUGGACAUUAACUGACGCUGAGGCUCGAAAGCAUGGGUAGCAAACAGGAUUAGAUACCCUGGUAGUCCAUGCCGUAAACGAUGAUUACUAGGUGUGGGGGGAUAAACCCCCUCCGUGCCGCAGCUAACGCAAUAAGUAAUCCACCUGGGGAGUACGGCCGCAAGGCUGAA
This 375-nucleotide ribosomal RNA is filed under the name uncultured bacterium. RNAcentral's name for it is "bacterial SSU rRNA". It matches the Rfam family "Bacterial small subunit ribosomal RNA", at positions 524 to 898 of the family's 1533-position model. The record is from RNAcentral.